GAUAGCUCAACGUAUUAGGCUUCGGGGGAUACUGCCAGACUGGAACCGGGAGAGGUAAGAGGUACUACAGGGGUAGGGAGUGAAAUCUUGUAAUCCCUGUGGGACCACCUGUGGCGAAGGCGUCUACCAGAACGGGCUCGACGGUGAGGGACGAAAGCUGGGGGCACGAACCGGAUUAGAUACCCGGGUAGUCCCAGCCGUAAACGAUGCUCGCUAGGUGUCAGGCAUGGCGCGACCGUGUCUGGUGCCGCAGGGAAGCCGUGAAGCGAGCCACCUGGGAAGUACGGCCGCAAGGCUGAAACUUAAAGGAAUUGGCGGGGGAGCACAACAACGGGUGGAAGCCUGCGGUUUAAUUGGACUCAACGCCGGACAACUCACCGGGGGCGACAGCAAUAUGUAGGCCAAGCUGAAGACUUUGCCUGAAUCGCUGAGUAGUGGUGCAUGG
Molecule: ribosomal RNA, 445 nt
Filed under: uncultured archaeon
Lineage: Archaea
Description: bacterial SSU rRNA
Rfam family: Archaeal small subunit ribosomal RNA
Source: RNAcentral